CUUGCAGCCGAUACGGGCAAGCUAGAGUUUGGUAGGGGAGACUGGAAUUCCUGGUGUAGCGGUGGAAUGCGCAGAUAUCAGGAGGAACACCGAUGGCGAAGGCAGGUCUCUGGGCCAAUACUGACACUGAGGAGCGAAAGCGUGGGGAGCGAACAGGAUUAGAUACCCUGGUAGUCCACGCCGUAAACGGUGGGCGCUAGUUGUGCGAACCUUCCACGGUUUGUGCGACGCAGCUAACGCAUUAAGCGCCCCGCCUGGGGAGUACGAUCGCAAGAUUAAAACUCAAAGGAAUUGACGGGGCCCCGCACAAGCAGCGGAGCAUGCGGCUUAAUUCGACGCAACGCGAAGAACCUUACCAAGGCUUGACAUAUACAGGAAUAUGGCAGAGAUGUCAUAGCCGCAAGGUCUGUAUACAGGUGGUGCAUGGUUGUCGUCAGCUCGUGUCGUGAGAUGUUGGGUUAAGUCCCGCAACGAGCGCAACCCUCGUUCUGUGUUGCCAGCAUUAAGUUGGGGACUCACAGGAGACUGCCGGGGUUAACUCGGAGGAAGGUGGGGAUGACGUCAAAUCAUCAUGCCCCUUAUGUCUUGGGCUGCACGCAUGCUACAAUGGCUGGUACAAACGGCUGCGAUACCGCAAGGUGGAGCGAAUCCGAUAAAGCCAGUC
This 664-nucleotide ribosomal RNA is filed under the name uncultured bacterium. RNAcentral describes it as "bacterial SSU rRNA". It matches the Rfam family "Bacterial small subunit ribosomal RNA", at positions 620 to 1287 of the family's 1533-position model. The record is from RNAcentral.